UACAGAGGGUGCGAGCGUUGUUCGGAAUUAUUGGGCGUAAAGCGCGUGUAGGCGGCUUUGCAAGUCGGGUGUGAAAGCCCUCAGCUUAACUGAGGAAGUGCGCCCGAAACUGCCGAGCUUGAGUACCGGAGAGGAUGGUGGAAUUCCCCAAGUAGAGGUGAAAUUCGUAGAUAUGGGGAGGAACACCGGUGGCGAAGGCGACCAUCUGGACGGAUACUGACGCUGAGACGCGAAAGCGUGGGUAGCAAACAGG
This 253-nucleotide ribosomal RNA is filed under the name uncultured bacterium. Its description in RNAcentral is "partial 16S ribosomal RNA". It matches the Rfam family "Bacterial small subunit ribosomal RNA", at positions 524 to 776 of the family's 1533-position model. The record is from RNAcentral.